Molecule: non-coding RNA, 192 nt
Filed under: Pseudomonas citronellolis
Lineage: Bacteria; Pseudomonadati; Pseudomonadota; Gammaproteobacteria; Pseudomonadales; Pseudomonadaceae
Source: RNAcentral
GGUGCCCUCGGCCAUGGCCGAAGGUGAAACAGGGAAGCCGGUGCAACCGAGCCAAUUCGGUCAUUCCGGCGCUGCCCCCGCAACGGUAGGCGAGUCACGCGGACGCAACAGCCACUGUGCCAACGGCAUGGGAAGGCGCAGCCGCAGAGGUCCGGUGACCUUCACUCGCGAGCCCGGAGACCGGCCCGUAGC